AGGCCACUUACUAAUGCAACUACAAUUUUCUUUUUUUUUUUUUAGAAAUUAGGAUAUUUUUCCUCCUACGGCAUACAACCUACCUUAUCAAUUACUCCAUUUUUUCACAACCUCCUUUUUUCAUUCUCCUCUGAAUCUGCUCUGAAGCUCCUCCAAAACUCAAUAAUGGAAGUUAUCAACAAGUAGCAGAUUGGGGGCGAGAGUUUUGAGCGCAAGUGAGAGUUUCGAGUAGUGGGAUGAUUCCAAAAUCGUAAUUCCUCACCAUCAUUAUUUGAGUUUGCUGGAAUUGCUCUUUAGAUAUGAUACUACAUCAGGUUUUAUGGGAGCAAUGAUAUCAAAUUUGGCAUUUGUCUUCCGCAACAUAUUUUCCAAGAAAGGCAUGAAAGGGAAGUCUGUCAGUGGGAUGAACUACUAUGCUUGUUUGUCGAUUCUCUCUCUUGUACUUCUCACUCCAUUUGCAAUCGCCGUGGAGGGACACUAAAUGUGGGCUGCUGGAUGGGAGAAGGAUGUUUCUCAAAUUAGACUCAACUUUAUUUGGUGGGUGGUCGCCCAAAGUAUGUUUUAUCACCUAUAUAGGUAAAGCAAAAAGAUGACACAUUUUCCUUAACACUCAACUAUCAAGAGUUCACAAAGGUAUAUGUGACCUUGAGUGUUUCUUUGUUAAUCUGGAAGAAUACCCCACAGAAGCUCUUCUAUGCAUGGAUGCUACCAUUCAUGAGGUAUAUCAAGCAGCUCUAUUUAUCUGAAUUAUGUCGCAAUAUCAAGUACUUAGUGUGAAUUGCAGCUAUCCCAUACAGAACAAUCAAAUUUGUGAAGCAGACAAAAACGUCAAUAUUUGAAGGUUGACCAUUGUAUCAGUUAACUAACUAGGUUUUUUUUUUUUAAUUUUUUAAUUUUUUUUUUUUUUUUUUUUUGGUUAUAGAGUAUUAUUUAUUGCUAAUUGUGAGAGAAAUAUUUGUAAUUUACAAGUACAUCAAUUCAAUAUAAUUUACAAGACGUUGCUUAAA
Chenopodium quinoa (quinoa) is the source of this 1007-nucleotide long non-coding RNA. RefSeq lists it as uncharacterized. NCBI's taxonomy places the organism in Eukaryota, Viridiplantae, Streptophyta, Magnoliopsida, Caryophyllales, Amaranthaceae. The record is from RefSeq and is a predicted model, not a curated record. The transcript is spliced from 6 exons.